Spea bombifrons (plains spadefoot toad) is the source of this 231-nucleotide long non-coding RNA. RefSeq lists it as uncharacterized. Lineage: Eukaryota; Metazoa; Chordata; Amphibia; Anura; Pelobatidae. The transcript is spliced from 3 exons. The record is from RefSeq and is a predicted model, not a curated record.
UUUGGAUGCCUCAGGAUAAAAUGACAGCGAACGAUGUGGAGCUUUUCAUUCCAUCGUAUCAUCGGGACUCGUAGCCGCCAAUAUUCGUGAUCGGAAUAUAGCCACAAAACAGCGGGGAACCCAUAGAAGAAACAGACAGGCGAAAUCAAGAUAGAAGACAUCUGUGUAUGCGGUUUGGAAUCUGUCCAAACUUAAGUGGGAAUAUAUCUUGUUGAACAGAACCCCCAUAGG